UACGUAGGGUGCGAGCGUUAAUCGGAAUUACUGGGCGUAAAGCGUGCGCAGGCGGUUCGUUGCGUCUGAUGUGAAAGCCCCGGGCUCAACCUGGGAAUGGCAUUGGAAACUGGCGAGCUAGAGUGUGGCAGAGGGGGGUGGAAUUCCGCGUGUAGCAGUGAAAUGCGUAGAGAUGCGGAGGAACACCGAUGGCGAAGGCAGCCCCCUGGGCUGACACUGACGCUCAGGCACGAAAGCGUGGGGAGCAAACAGG
This 253-nucleotide ribosomal RNA is filed under the name uncultured bacterium. RNAcentral describes it as "partial 16S ribosomal RNA". It matches the Rfam family "Bacterial small subunit ribosomal RNA", at positions 524 to 776 of the family's 1533-position model. The record is from RNAcentral.